Molecule: long non-coding RNA, 856 nt
Organism: Juglans microcarpa x Juglans regia
Lineage: Eukaryota; Viridiplantae; Streptophyta; Magnoliopsida; Fagales; Juglandaceae
Exons: 2
Source: RefSeq, a predicted model, not a curated record
AGUUAACUAAGUCAGAACGAAACCCAUGGUCCCAACAUUUCUUCCUUCUCGGACCCUCGAUUUCCCAUAAGCUUCACUUGCAAACAAUCCUAGAUUUCUACUCAUGACAUACGUUCCCCAUUCAAAACACGUUGCCCACAAGGUGGCGAGACGCUGCAUUUAGUUGAGAAUAUGUCUCCCAUGUUGCAUCCUUGACUCUUUGCCCUUGCCAGUGAAUUUGUAACUCUACCCUUGCUUUGUUUCUUGCCUUGGUCAUCCAAUGCCACUUCCAUUGGUUCCAGACUGAGGAUCCCUUGUUUGUUCACAAGAGGCAACAUUGGAAUCGCAGUGAUCUUAGCACCCAAUUUCUUCUUAAGCUACGAUACGUGGAAUGUGGGGUGGAUUCGAGAAGAAGAUGGCAGAUCCACUCGAAUGCAGCUUUUGUUUCUGAAAGCUAUAGCCUGAAUUUACUCACAUUCAAAAGGGAAUAUCGAUCCAUGCCCCUUUUGCAUGCUUUCUUUGCUGGUUGGCACGAAAUGAAAAAAAAGCUGCAACUCUCAACCUCAAAAUAUAUGAUCCACUGCUUUUGAAGGUCUUCAUAUAUUACAUAACUAACAUCAACAUCAUUACAGUUUUCUUCUUGCUCAGAUCAAGGCUUUAUGCCAACUAUAUAUAAUGCUAGUAAUUACAGCUGCUAUAUUGACAAAAAUAGAUGUCACUGUCAGAUAAAAAUAACAAGGUUUGUUGAGAGGAGCUUUUUGGAGGUUAUAGGCUUUGACAUUUUUAUAUAUUGGGGUUUGUAAAACAGUAAAUGGAAGGUGAUUUUCUUUAAAAAAAAGAAAAAAAAAAAGAAAAGAAAGGGAGAAAAAUUCUCAAA